Molecule: ribosomal RNA, 548 nt
Filed under: uncultured bacterium
Lineage: Bacteria
Description: bacterial SSU rRNA
Rfam family: Bacterial small subunit ribosomal RNA
Source: RNAcentral
UAGGGAAUCUUCCGCAGUGGGCGAAAGCCUGACGGAGCAACGCCGCGUGAGUGAAGAAGGAUUUCGGUUCGUAAAGCUCUGUUGUUAGGGAAGAAUGAUUGUGUAGUAACUAUACACAGUAGAGACGGUACCUAACCAGAAAGCCACGGCUAACUACGUGCCAGCAGCCGCGGUAAUACGUAGGUGGCAAGCGUUGUCCGGAAUUAUUGGGCGUAAAGCGCGCGCAGGUGGUUUAAUAAGUCUGAUGUGAAAGCCCACGGCUCAACCGUGGAGGGUCAUUGGAAACUGUUAAACUUGAGUGCAGGAGAGAAAAGUGGAAUUCCUAGUGUAGCGGUGAAAUGCGUAGAGAUUAGGAGGAACACCAGUGGCGAAGGCGGCUUUUUGGCCUGUAACUGACACUGAGGCGCGAAAGCGUGGGGAGCAAACAGGAUUAGAUACCCUGGUAGUUCACGCCGUAAACGAUGAGUGCUAAGUGUUGGUCUCAUAAGAGAUCAGUGCUGCAGCUAACGCAUUAAGCACUCCGCCUGGGGAGUACGACCGCAAGGUUG